Molecule: long non-coding RNA, 1526 nt
Organism: Cimex lectularius (bed bug)
Lineage: Eukaryota; Metazoa; Arthropoda; Insecta; Hemiptera; Cimicidae
Exons: 2
Source: RefSeq, a predicted model, not a curated record
UCGGUCAUCGUCUCGUCUGUCUUUAGGUAUCUUAUCUCUCGAAUCUUGCCCCUUCUACACCUCUUAAUUUAUCUUAUCUCAGUAGGAAAAAAAAAUCCAUAUCAAAAUCAACUUUUAUUUGUACAUUUUCUAUACUUUCAGGACAAACUGUACAUACAAUCAUUUACUAAUACUAAUAUUCCAUACAUUUUCAUUCCCAGCUCAGAACCCAUUGCAUUGCACGAUCAUGUUAAAUACUAACCAGAAAAUCCUACAAUCUGAGUUUCAUUGACAUUAAGCUACAAUGUAGCACACACAAUAGAAAAAUAAUGAGACUUAGGAAACUCUCGUUAAUUUAUACAUUUAUAUUGUAUAUAUUAAAAAAGAUCUUUAUAUGUAUCCUUUGUUGUACGUUUAUACUGGUCAAUUUAAUUACCACCUCAACGAUGUCGAUUCUGUCAUGGAAAAGCAAAAACAACAUCCUUUAUUAUUCCAAAGCAUUAACCUGGAAACAGUAGCUUUUAUUUGUACUUUGAUAUACUUUCAGGAGAAAUUUUACUAAUAUUCCAUACAUUUUUAUUCCUACUGUUUUAAGAAUACUACAAUAUAUGUUUUGAAGAACGUACACAGGGUAUUUAAUUAGCCAUUGUUUCAUAGAAAUUCAACAGAUGGAUCCUAAUAAAAUUGGGUACAUUAGUGACAUUACAUUCUAUUACAAUACAUUCAUUUUGCUUUGUUACUUUCUUACUUAUCCAUAUGUUCACUUAACAAUAUUAAUUAAUUAUACCAACCAUAUAACCACUUGAGCUAUCCUGACGUUCGAGCAGCAGCUUGACCUGAAGGUCUGGUUCGAAUCUCACUAGUGCCACUGGCUUUUUUUAUCUCAACCAAGACUCUAGACAAAAAGUAUAAUUAAUUUGUUACUUUUUUGAUUUAUUCUGCCAAUAAAUGAUUUUUUGGCGAUUAUUAUUUCCUAUUUUUACAUUGAGAGCCGAGUAAAGCAUGUUCCAUAUCAUCACAUGGCUUUGCAAGAUAAAAAAGGUCAUUCUUACCUUCAAACUCAGAACUCAUAUGGAGUCUCACGUUGGACUCUUGUUUUAUUAAAAUUCAACUCUGAAGAAUUCUUACAUUGCGCAACGACAUGAACAAAAAUUUAUUACUAUGCUAGCAUACUUUCAUAAUUUUUCAGUUGCAAUUAAUAUUUUUCUCUUUCAAAAUUUAUUUUUAUAUCUGACAAAGGGUUUAAGUUCUGGGUGAAAUAUAUGCAUUGUAACUUUUUACUUUAUUCUGCCAAGAAAUGAUCUUGGCAAUUAUUAUUUCCUAUUAUUACCUAAACCCUAAAAGUGGAAUCACUAUGCUUAACAACAGGGAUUUUUUUUGAGGUGUUACACUUAGCCUUAAGUUUUCUAAGAUCCUUUUUAAACUAGCAAGGGGACAACCAGGUUGGACAUCACGGAUUUGGACCAAACUUUUCUGUGAUUCUACACUCCAUACUAUUGGACACGUAUCUGCCACUACUUUGUGGCCCUGGUUUUGUCAAAAAAAAA